AUUGAACGCUGGCGGCAGGCUUAACACAUGCAAGUCGAGCGGGGGAAGGUAGCUUGCUACUGGACCUAGCGGCGGACGGGUGAGUAAUGCUUAGGAAUCUGCCUAUUAGUGGGGGACAACAUCUCGAAAGGGAUGCUAAUACCGCAUACGUCCUACGGGAGAAAGCAGGGGAUCUUCGGACCUUGCGCUAAUAGAUGAGCCUAAGUCGGAUUAGCUAGUUGGUGGGGUAAAGGCCUACCAAGGCGACGAUCUGUAGCGGGUCUGAGAGGAUGAUCCGCCAAACGGGGACUGAGACACGGCCCAGACCCCUACGGGAGGCAGCAGUGGGGAAUAUUGGACAAUGGGGGGAACCCUGAUCCAGCCAUGCCGCGUGUGUGAAGAAGGCCUUAUGGUUGUAAAGCACUUUAAGCGAGGAGGAGGCUACUCUAGUUAAUACCUAGGGAUAGUGGACGUUACUCGCAGAAUAAGCACCGGCUAACUCUGUGCAGCCGCCGCCGUAA
This 500-nucleotide ribosomal RNA is filed under the name uncultured bacterium. Its description in RNAcentral is "partial 16S ribosomal RNA". It matches the Rfam family "Bacterial small subunit ribosomal RNA", at positions 30 to 523 of the family's 1533-position model. The record is from RNAcentral.